GCCGUGCUUUGAUCCCACCCCGCUCAGGGCUCCGCGCUGCCCCGCUGGGCGCGCCGCAGCCGCAGCCACCCCCCUCCCCAGUGCGGGUCGGGGCGGCCAGCAGGCGCCAGCUCGCCGCUUACCCGGUCUGACUGCAGCUCCUCCCCCUGGCACAAGCGGCAGAGGAACGAUUUCUGCUCCCGGCACAAGGGAGCUAGUUCUCUGGUACAAUUCAGUCCCUUUAUGCCAUAUAAGGGGCAUAAAGGCAACAGUUUUCCCCACAGGUGUAACCAAGAGCAGAUUAACUCUCCAAAUGCACUGAAUCAAAUACCCCUGACGUUGUCUGCUGGGGGAGAUUUUCAGCUCCAAGACUUAAGAUGGUGGCCUUGUGAAAAUGACUGCCAUUACGGGUAGUUCUUCCCUAGGGCUUCAACUCAGCAAGAAGCUGGUCCAAUAGAAGCUAUUACUUCACCCACCUUGUCUUGCUAAUAUCCUGGGAGCAACACUGCCUACAGGGGGAGUACUCUCACUCUUAGUGUUAGGCAUGUGUAAGUAUCAUGCUGAAUUGGAGCAUAGCAUCUGAAAGUCACACAAUUGCAUGGCUGCAGGACAUUAACAGCCUGAAACAAACAACAGAGAGGUAUGCUGUCCCUUUCUUAUUUGAUCUACAGGUCUCUCCCAGGCAAACUGAAAUAUACCUACCAAGGAUGAAACAAAUACUGCAGUCACUUUAUCAGCACAGCUUUCUUCACAGAGAAUAAGGGUAUGUCUACAAUGGAAGUGUAAUUUGCCACCUGGAUAGACAUAGCACGCUAAAAACAGCAGCAUAGCUGCAGCCGCACAAACUGCAUGACAGCCUAGCAGCCCCAAGCAUGAUCCAGUCUGAAACUGCAGGAUUUCAAGUUCCCCAGGAACAAUGGUGGAUGCAGAACUGGCUGAGAACAAAUCAGAGUCCAACUAUGAGAAGAAACCUAAAUUGCUCCUCCACUCAUCUUCCUCACUCAGUGUCUAAUCAGGAUGGAUCAUCCCAGCUGCUGAGUCCAGCCUGAAUCAAUUAUUCCACCAACCCAUAACAAGUGCUUCCUCCCUCUAAUAAGACGCUGUAAAGAGGCAUCUUCCAUGCCCAGAAAAAUGGGUUGUAGGCAAGAAGGGGGAGGGGAGUAGGAGGAAGGGGCUAGAACCAUGUGUUUAGAUUUGUCACCCAAGACCUUCACUCAAUACCACUAUGAUUUUAAAACAGGAAAGGCUAAGACCAUCUCCCAAAGCCUGUUCCAAGGCAAUCUGUCUGCACCGCAGGGACAGAAGCGUUGCUUCAGAGGGUCUUGCCUCUGCCCUCAGAGAUGACCUCUCCAGGCCGAGCCCGCAUGUACCACUCCACCCAGGCACCAUCGUAGACAGCCACGUCUGGCUUGCCACAGAGGUACGCCCCCAAGGCCACAUGGCAGGCAGUGACUCCCGAGCCACAUGUGGCUACCACUGGCUUUGAGAGGUCCACUUUCUUCUCCUGGAAUAAGCUGCGGAUCGCUUCAGGGGUCUUCUCAAAGCCAGCUUCUGUGAGGAAAUCCAAGAAGGGGAUGUUCAGGGAGCCAGGGAUAUGACCAGGCUCAAUUCCUGGAGGAAGAGGAAGGAGACCAACGCAGACAGGAGUUAAUCUUUACAUCACGGAGGGUUCCAUCGCACAACCCCUUCUUCACUACCCUCCACGCAUACUCAUGCCAUGGCAACCCUCCCUCUACAGCCACUGCACAAGGUUAUGUGAGGGUUAAUGUCUGUAUGUUUGAUCACAAGGCGUCAUAUCAAAGCUAAAUAUUAUUAAAGGGAUGGGGUGUGUGGGAGCUACCUUCUCUUCCGCCUCCCCAGGUCCCCGAGAGAUUGAGUGCACUGCUGCCUCUGAACCAUGGGACUCUGCAUUCAUACUAAAA
Long non-coding RNA from Chelonia mydas (Green sea turtle), 1901 nucleotides. RefSeq lists it as uncharacterized. The record is from RefSeq and is a predicted model, not a curated record. NCBI's taxonomy places the organism in Eukaryota, Metazoa, Chordata, Testudines, Cheloniidae. The transcript has 5 exons.